GUGCCAGCCGCCGCGGUAAUACAGAGGGUGCGAACGUUGUUCGGAAUUACUGGGCUUGAAGCGCGCGUAGGCGGCCCCGCAAGUGCGGUGUGAAAUCCCACGGCUUACCCGUGGAACCGCGCCGUGUACUACGGGGCUAGAGGAUGGUAGAGGAGGGCGGAACUCUUGGUGGAGCGGUGAAAUGCGUAGAGAUCAAGAGGAACACCGGUGGCGAAGGCGGCCCUCUGGUCCAUUACUGACGCUGAGGCGCGAAAGCUAGGGGAGCAAACGGGAUUAGAUACCCCCGUAGUCC
This 292-nucleotide ribosomal RNA is filed under the name uncultured bacterium. RNAcentral describes it as "partial 16S ribosomal RNA". It matches the Rfam family "Bacterial small subunit ribosomal RNA", at positions 505 to 796 of the family's 1533-position model. The record is from RNAcentral.